CUCCUAUGUAACUAGAGGCUGUGGGACAAUAGUGUCGGUUAAGCCGUUCAUCAUAGCGGUUAGUAAAGAGCCGGCACUGCUAAUGUGUCAGAUAUGCGUCCUGAGCCCCAUUUUUCUGCAUUUUACCCCAUAGGUGUUGCACUGACACGCUCGACACAUUUAUUUAUUUAUUUUUUUCUUGAUUUACAACCGAAAGGGUAUU
Pelobates cultripes (western spadefoot toad) is the source of this 202-nucleotide non-coding RNA. The record is from the annotation of a GenBank genome assembly. NCBI's taxonomy places the organism in Eukaryota, Metazoa, Chordata, Amphibia, Anura, Pelobatidae.